AGCUCCAAUAGCGUAUAUUAAAGUUGUUGUGGUUAAAAAGCUCGUAGUUGGAUUUCGGCGGGUAUAGGUUGGUUUGAAUUGCUUCAAUACUGACUUUUUUACCCGUGUGUUUUGCCAGAAUUUAACGGGUGAUCUUCGCCGAUUGUCUGUUAGAACUGACAGGUUUACUUUGAAAAAAUUAGAGUGCUCAAAGCAAGCUUGAUUGCUUGAAUAUUCGUGCAUGGAAUAAUAGAAUAGGAAGUCGUUUCUAUUUUGUUGGUUUUCGGAAAUCGACUUAAUGAUUAAUAGGGACAGUCGGGGGCAUUUGUAUUCAAACGACAGAGGUGAAAUUCUUGGACCGUUUGAAGACAAACUACUGCGAAAGCAUUUGCCAAGAAUGUUUUCAUCA
Molecule: ribosomal RNA, 388 nt
Filed under: Temora sp.
Lineage: Eukaryota; Metazoa; Arthropoda; Copepoda; Calanoida; Temoridae
Description: partial small subunit ribosomal RNA
Rfam family: Eukaryotic small subunit ribosomal RNA
Source: RNAcentral